UACGGAGAGUGCAAACGUUGUUCGGAUUCACUGGGCGUAAAGGGCACGUAGGCGGCUCGGCAAAUCGGUCGUGGAAUCCCGACGCUUACCGUCGGAACGGCGGCCGAAAAUACCGGGCUCGAGGGCGUGAGGGGUCACUGGAACUCCUGGUGAAGCGGUGAAAUGCGUAGAUAUCAGGAGGAACGCCGGAGGCGAAAGCGAGUGACUGGCGCGUUCCUGACGCUGAGGUGCGAAAGCUAGGGGAGCGAACAGG
RNAcentral lists this ribosomal RNA (253 nucleotides) under uncultured bacterium. RNAcentral's name for it is "partial 16S ribosomal RNA". It matches the Rfam family "Bacterial small subunit ribosomal RNA", at positions 524 to 776 of the family's 1533-position model. The record is from RNAcentral.